RNA transcript from Nymphaea colorata (pocket water lily), 3816 nucleotides. It is a transcript of the gene named probable Histone-lysine N-methyltransferase ATXR5, with no coding region annotated. NCBI's taxonomy places the organism in Eukaryota, Viridiplantae, Streptophyta, Magnoliopsida, Nymphaeales, Nymphaeaceae. The record is from RefSeq and is a predicted model, not a curated record. The transcript has 3 exons.
AUUGCCAAUCACCUGUAUUGGAGAUCCAUUGCGCUCUCUCUCUCUCUCUCUCUAUAUAUAUAUAUAUAUAUAUAUAUAUAUAUAUAUAGAGAGAGAGAGAGAGAGAGAGAGAGAGAAGCAAGCACAAAAGAAAAAGAGAUUGUGAGAAAUCAGUGGCAGCACUUUCUCACUCUCCGUGUGUGUGUUUUUGUGGGCAUCCAUUAUGUCCUCUAUAUAUGCCCUUCAGGUGUUCCUUUUAGGUUUCUUGUUGGAGUUUUUCGUUUGGACUGUGUCCCAGUUUCUUGUUGGGCUCUUUAAUGGGGUUUCUCGAUGGGUUUGGGUUCCUCCGUUGUGGUUGUUGCCAAUCCCAGGGUUCAGCCAUGUUGGCUCAUGUUAUUGGGCCAUUGUUGUCAGGGGGUUUUGCCGGUCGCCCUAAUUGUUGUAUGGUUUCAGUUAAUGGCCUCUGUUGAUGGAUCUCUGUACUGUGCUGCUGCGAGGUUCUGCUAAUGGAAUAUUGAGGGGUUCUGUUGUGGGUCAUCAAUGUUGAGGGUCCUGCUGUUACUUGUUGUUGUGCCACUGCUGCUGAGAGGUUUUAUUUCUGUUUGUUGUUGGGUCACUGGGACAACAACUCACCAUGCAGCUCAUCUUGUGUCAACUUCCCAAAGAAGAUAACACCUGCCCACAAUCAUAGCAGCUUACCAUAAAUGAAGGUUGGAAAGAAAAUAUAGCAUGAUAAGCUAAGCUCGGAUAGAAGCCAACGACUGAUCACAACUCCCCAUAUAUGAAUUAUGGAAAGAAGGUAACGCAUGAUCAAGAAAUGGAUUGACACCACACGCUGCCACGCAACUACAAAUCAGGAACAAGGUUGUGGCAUUGAAUCCAUGCAGAAAUUAUUGUGAAAGAAAACCCUUUAAAUAAGGCUGAAGUGUUAAAGGAAAUCCUUGAAGUCAAAGAGAAGAGAUAAUGGCUAAAAUAUAGCAAAUGGUUAUGAGUCUUCGGUUGUGAUCAAAUAUACACAAACACAGAAAAUCUUUUGCAAUCUAGUAUGGAUAUUAGGAUAUCCUUUAAUGUUGUUACCAUAAUUAUCUCAUUUGUAAACUAUAUAUAUAGAGCUAUAAACCAUUGAGAAAUAUAUCUUCUGACCUGAGUUAUUCUUUUAUGGUAUCAGAUCCCUCUUCUUUUAGAGGACUAAUAGCAUCGUCUUUCUCCUCUGUCCUUGUUACUCAAUGGAAUUAGACUUGGGCAUCGGGCCGGCCCGACCUGAUAAGAUCCGGCCCGAGUAGCCCGGCCCGUUAACUGGCGGCAAAUCUCCACUUCUUCGUUCGUCCUGUCUCUGUUGAUCUUUCUUUUCUGCUUUCUGCUUUUGUUUCUCUCCUUUUUCUGUCUCUGUCUCCCCUCUCGGUUUUGAUCAUGCCUAUGUUGAGAGGGUUCGAGUCCUCGUCUGGGAUCUCGGGUAACAAUUACGGCGUGUACACCGGAAUCAUGGGGUCGCUCGCGAGAAGCAACAACGGAGGGGCCGCAACGAGGGUCCAGUACCGACCCCAUGAUUAGGGUUCCGACUGGUCCUUGGUUCUGCCCUAGCUGCUCUAGCCAGAAAACUUCACGAGUCUUACGGCUUAGUCAAACGAAAAGAAUCAAUUUCUUCCGCAUACAGAAACCAGAUAACCAAGUCGAGAAAUUUUCAAUCGAUGCUCGGAAACGGAGGAGGCGAUCAGGGCAAUUGGUGACUUCAAAGAAGAAGAGGAGAUUGCUGCCAUUUGUUUCGAGUGUGGAACCAGAGAGAAGAUUGGAACAGAUGCAUUCGCUUGCUGUAGGUUUGAAGGCAUUGAAGAUGCAAUUCUACGAUGACCUGACCUAUGUACCUGGAAUGGCUCCCAGGUCGGCCAAUGCAACGAAAUUGGAGAAGGGUGGAAUGCAGGUGCUUAUAUUUUCUUGUUUUCUUUUAAGAUUGAUGUUGCUUUUCCACAGACGUUUGAUAUCUGCUGGAUGACGACGGCGACGGCGGUGUUGGGCUGUUGGCCACGAUGAUGGAGGUCUUGAGUCGGAGAUCCUCGAUGGCAGCAAUGAUUGGAAGGAAACGAUGCACUCUCCUCUUGCUCCUCGUCCCCAUCGCCGCCUCCGGCCUUCUCUCCUUCUCCUCCCUCUGCUUGCUCGUUGACGUCGACCUACCUAACGGGGGCCUUCUCUCCUUCUCCUCCCUCUGCUUGCUCGUUGACGUCGACCUACCUAACGGGCCGGCCUGGCUUAGAAAGUGAUAACCAGGCCCGGCUUGUUAAGAUAUUGGGCCGGGCCAGGCUCACUAAAGUUGAGCCGGAUAGAAAAAAAGUGCGACCCGGACCCGGCCCAUACCAGGCUGGGCUGGGCCGGCCCGGCGGCGGCCCGGCCCGACGCCCAGGCCUAAAUGGAAUGCCAUCAGCACUUUAGUAUCUGUUAAUUUCAAUGGAAAUAACUAUCUUCAUUGGAGAAGUCAGAUGGAACCAGUGAUGGAAUCUCAAGGUCUUCUUGAAUAUGUGAAUGGAACUAUCUUGGCUCCAUUAGAAACUAUCUCCACCAAUGGAAAAACUAAUCACAAUCCCGAGUAUAAGCAACGACGCAAAUCUGAUCGUCUUUCUCUCAGCUGGAUAAAAGCUACAGUGAAUGACUUUGCUCAUGGUCAAAUUGUUCGAGCGUCAUCAGCAAGAGAAUAUUGGACUACUUUGGAAAAAGCGUAUGGCUCCUAGUCUCCACUGCGAGUCAUGCUUCUCAAAAAGGAACUGCAUUUUAUAAGAAAGGGGUCUAUGAGUAUGAGGACAUAUCUAGAGAAAAUCAGAUUGUUGGCAGACACGUUAUCUGUUGUAGAUCAACAAACAACCGAUAGUGAUCUUGUAGAAAUCACUAUGAACAACCUUCCAGGAAAACAUGAAAGCUUCAUAACUCUUCUUACUGGUGAAACCCACCACUCAACAAUCACCUUCGUAGAGCUGGUUGAUCUUCUUAAUCAAGAAAAAAGACUUGAUUUACUCAAGUCUCCUUUGCUUGAAAGAGAUAUCUCAAAAUAUAACACAGUUGGUGAACCACACUGCAUUCAAUGCCUUCCACAACCGAGGAAGAGGGUGUGGAUUUUAUCACUGUUAUGGUGGCAGCUGUAUUGAAGGUCGGUUAUAAGGACACAGACAAGAACAACAAGCUCAAAAUCAAGGUCAAUGUAACACCAACAAUCAGUCCCAAUGCAACUAUGAUUCUACAAAAGGCUAUCAAAAAAAUCCUAUUAUAUGUCAUUAUUGUGGCAAAAAGGGACAUUCUGCUAGAUCAUGCUAUGUUAUUCCUCAGGUGUUCUCUGCUAUGAACACUAAAAAAACUGCAGAAGAAUAUACAAUGCCAAUGAUAACAUGAUGAAAAAUAAAAGAACACAUGCUGGAUCGAGUGGCAUUAUGAUCGGUAAUGGCUCUUAUCUGUCUAUUUGUCAUAAAGGAGACUUAUCUAUUAAUAUGGAAGGAAAUCUUUUAUGCUCAAGAACUCAUUACAUGUUCCUAAAAUCACUCAUAAUUUAUUAUUUGUGGGAAAGUUUACAUCUGAUAAUAGUUGCAUUUUUGAGUUCUUAUCCCAUGAAUUUAUUAUAAAGGAUCUGCAGACGAUGAAGGUACUACUUCGGGGGCAAGCAGCCUAAUGGACUAUAUCUGAUCUUUGCAUCAAGAGAAGACACAAGUAGAGGAGCAACAACGUUCAGUAGUUGGUUUCCAUUAAGUUCUAAUUCUGUGAAUUUUUCUUUGUGGCCUACGCGAUUAGGCCAUAAAAGUAAAACCAUUGUUAACUUUCUCAAUUCGCAUAACAUUGUUUCAAUAAAAUGUUCUAAAGGUU